Molecule: non-coding RNA, 77 nt
Organism: Mycena haematopus
Lineage: Eukaryota; Fungi; Basidiomycota; Agaricomycetes; Agaricales; Mycenaceae
Source: the annotation of a GenBank genome assembly
GGCAGAAUAGCUCAGUUGGUAAGAGCACUGGUAGCACAAUUACCUAGAGGUCCCCGGUUCGAUUCCGGGUUCAGCCA